CGGGGUGUAGCUCAGCUUGGUAGAGCGCGUCGUUCGGGACGACGAGGCCCACAGUUCAAAUCUGUGCACCCCGACCA
This 77-nucleotide transfer RNA is filed under the name Chloroflexota bacterium. RNAcentral describes it as "Chloroflexi bacterium tRNA-Pro". It matches the Rfam family "tRNA". Rfam says of the family: Transfer RNA (tRNA) molecules are approximately 80 nucleotides in length. Their secondary structure includes four short double-helical elements and three loops (D, anti-codon, and T loops). RNAcentral also lists the same sequence under 1 other name. The record is from RNAcentral. Lineage: Bacteria; Bacillati; Chloroflexota.